AACGAACGCUGGCGGCAGGCCUAACACAUGCAAGUCGAGCGAGGACUUCGGUCCUAGCGGCGGACGGGUGAGUAACGCGUGGGAACGUGCCCUUUGCUUCGGAAUAGCCCUGGGAAACUGGGAGUAAUACCGGAUGAGCCCUUUGGGGGAAAGAUUUAUCGGCGAAGGAUCGGCCCGCGUUGGAUUAGGUAGUUGGUGGGGUAAUGGCCUACCAAGCCGACGAUCCAUAGCUGGUUUGAGAGGAUGAUCAGCCACACUGGGACUGAGACACGGCCCAGACUCCCCCGGGGGGGGCCGGUGGGGAAAUUUUGAGAAAGGGGGGAACCCCGUGCUCUCCCCGCGCCGGGGGCGAUAUAAGGCUUUGGGUGUUAAAACCCUUUUCCAGCGGAGAAGAAAGAGGCGGCCCCAAGAAAAAACCCCCCCUAAACCCCU
RNAcentral lists this ribosomal RNA (432 nucleotides) under uncultured bacterium. RNAcentral describes it as "partial 16S ribosomal RNA". It matches the Rfam family "Bacterial small subunit ribosomal RNA", at positions 29 to 506 of the family's 1533-position model. The record is from RNAcentral.